This 253-nucleotide ribosomal RNA is filed under the name uncultured bacterium. RNAcentral's name for it is "partial 16S ribosomal RNA". It matches the Rfam family "Bacterial small subunit ribosomal RNA", at positions 524 to 776 of the family's 1533-position model. The record is from RNAcentral.
UACGUAGGGUGCGAGCGUUGUCCGGAAUUACUGGGCGUAAGGAGCUCGUAGGUGGUUUGUCGCGUUGUUCGUGAAAUUCCCUGGCUUAACUGGGGGCGUGCGGGCGAUACGGGCAGACUGGAGUACUGCAGGGGAGACUGGAAUUCCUGGUGUAGCGGUGAAAUGCGCAGAUAUCGGGAGGAACACCGGUGGCGAAGGCGGUUCUCUGGGCCUGACCUGACGCUGAGGAGCGAAAGCGUGGGGAGCGAACAGG